GGAGGGAUCAUUAGUAAACACUAAAUACCUUUUCAUCCCAAACGUGAACUUGUUUCAAAGGGACUAUUAUUGUCCUCAUUUUGUGCUUGACCUUUCUUCAGUGAAGGGAAAGUGCAUACGCUUUACUCCUUUUUUUAUUAUUAUAAAAACAACUCAAUAUUUAUAUUGAAAUAUACAUGUUACAUCACAUUACAUUUUUAUGUGUCUUGAUCUAACGAUCAAAAAACACUAUAAUUGAUUCUUUACAACUCUUAGCAACGGAUAUCUCGGUUCUCGUAUCGAUGAAGAACGCAGCAAACUGCGAUAAGUAAUGCGAAUCGCAGAGCUCAGUGAAUCAUCGAAUUUUUGAACGCAUACUGCAUUCUGAGGCUUAUGCCUAUCAGAAUAUACUUCUUUGAGUAUCAGAUCCACCUCACAAUGUUGGCAAUAUUUUUAUGUUGCCAAUGAUUUGGAAUAUGAGUGGUUUUUCACUUUAUAUAUCAUAAGGUGCCACUUCAAAUUGCCUGAUUCAUGCUAAGCAAUGAUUGCUGUGACAAGUUUUGCUUGAUGUAUGGUAAAAAAGUUUCACUUUUUUUCGCACAUCUUUCGCGGCUUUGUUGCGUGAUUGUUGAUUAUGCUCUGGUUAUAAAUAAGAAGGAAAAUUAAAACUUAUUACCAAAAUUGAUCUCAAAUGAAGUGAGACAACCCGCUGAAUUUAAGCAUAUUAUUAAGCGGAGGAAAAGAAACUAACAAGGAUUCCCAUAGUAACUUGCGAGUGAAGUGGGAAAAGCUCAGCCUGAAAAUAGGAUGACCUAGCGGUCGUUCCGAAUUGUAGGUUUUCGGCAUGCGAUCAGUCCGUGGACUGGGUAGAAAUCCUUUGGAAAAGGGUAUCACAGAGGGUGACAAUCCCGUCCGUGACUCAGAGCACGCGGCGUUAACGACGUAUGUCUAUAGAGUAGGGUAGCUUGGGAAUGCUGCUCGAAGUGGGUGGUAAAUUCCAUCCAAAGCUAAAUAUCGACGAGAGACCGAUAGCGAACAAGUAGCGUGAGCGAAAGAUGAAAAGAACUUUGAAAAGAGAGUUAAAAAGUCCUUGAAAUUGCUAAGAGGUAAGCACUGGCAACCAGUAUGUAUGUCGAUGGUUAUAUGCCUAUGACGCUGACAAGGUCUAUCCUGAUAUCGGCGACUCCUGAUAGGGGGCGCUGUGUGUUGGGCAAUGUCUGACCCCCAGUGACGUAGACACAGUAAUCGUUGUACUAGUCAAGAUCAAUUAGCCAUCGCGAGAGAAAGCUUUCCAGGGAGGUAGGUCUACAUUAUGCCUCGUGUGUAGUGUACGACAACAUAUAACCUGGAUGUCUAGUAAAUAUCGUGGGGUUGAUUGAGGUCAUUCGACGAAGUGAAAAACUGCACCUAUGAUCCCUCAUAGGUAUGGGUCGCCUGGCUCCUGCUACAUUAUUUGGAUGCUAGAACAAAGUUCUAGUACUGGAGAAGUGGAGUACUGGGUUGGGGUCGAUCACAAGCAGUUCUUAAGUUCGACGAUCUUGACGAAAUGGUUCUCAGUGACCCGUCUUGAAACACGGACCAAGGAGUCUAACAUAUAUGCGAGUAUUUGGAUGCGUAAAAUCCAUAAAAUGCGUAAUGAAAGUGAAGGUGGAAAUCAUUUAUGAUUUUUGCUGAGGUAGGAUUCAGGGUCAUUCCCAUGACUCUGAUGCACUAUCGCCCGAAUCUAUCAUUUAUGAAAGGUUUGAGGAAGAGCAUAUCUGUUAGGACCCGAAAGAUGGUGAACUAUACCUGAUCAGGGUGAAGCCAGGGGAAACUCUGGUGGAGGCUCGUAGCGAUACUGACGUGCAAAUCGUUCGUCUGAAUUGGGUAUAGGGGCGAAAGACUAAUCGAACCAUCUAGUAGCUGGUUCCCUC
RNAcentral lists this unclassified non-coding RNA (1892 nucleotides) under uncultured fungus. RNAcentral describes it as "sequence contains 18S rRNA gene, ITS1, 5.8S rRNA gene, ITS2, 28S rRNA gene". The stretch from base 662 to 1892 matches the Rfam family "Eukaryotic large subunit ribosomal RNA", at positions 1 to 961 of the family's 3401-position model. Lineage: Eukaryota; Fungi. The record is from RNAcentral.